This 468-nucleotide ribosomal RNA is filed under the name uncultured bacterium. Its description in RNAcentral is "partial 16S ribosomal RNA". It matches the Rfam family "Bacterial small subunit ribosomal RNA", at positions 28 to 507 of the family's 1533-position model. The record is from RNAcentral.
GACGAACGCUGGCGGCGUGCUCAACACAUGCAAGUCGAACGGAAAGGCCCUGCUUUUGUGGGGUGCUCGAGUGGCGAACGGGUGAGUAACACGUGAGUAACCUGCCCUUGACUUUGGGAUAACUUCAGGAAACUGGGGCUAAUGCCGGAUAGGAGCUCCUGCUGCAUGGUGGGGGUUGGAAAGUUUCGGCGGUUGGGGAUGGACUCGCGGCUUAUCAGCUUGUUGGUGGGGUAGUGGCUUACCAAGGCUUUGACGGGUAGCCGGCCUGAGAGGGUGACCGGCCACAUUGGGACUGAGAUACGGCCCAGACUCCUACGGGAGGCAGCAGUGGGGAAUAUUGCACAAUGGGCGGAAGCCUGAUGCAGCAACGCCGCGUGCGGGAAGACGGCCUUCGGGUUGUAAACCGCUUUCGCCUGUGACGAAGCGUGAGUGACGGUAAUGGGUAAAGAAGCACCGGCUAACUACGUG